This 497-nucleotide ribosomal RNA is filed under the name uncultured bacterium. Its description in RNAcentral is "partial 16S ribosomal RNA". It matches the Rfam family "Bacterial small subunit ribosomal RNA", at positions 28 to 507 of the family's 1533-position model. The record is from RNAcentral.
GAUGAACGCUGGCGGCGUGCCUAAUACAUGCAAGUCGAGCGAACAGACGAGAAGCUUGCUUCUCUGAUGUUAGCGGCGGACGGGUGAGUAACACGUGGAUAACCUACCUAUAAGACUGGGAUAACUUCGGGAAACCGGAGCUAAUACCGGAUAAUAUUUUGAACCGCAUGGUUCAAUAGUGAAAGACGGUCUUGCUGUCACUUAUAGAUGGAUCCGCGCUGCAUUAGCUAGUUGGUAAGGUAACGGCUUACCAAGGCAACGAUGCAUAGCCGACCUGAGAGGGUGAUCGGCCACACUGGAACUGAGACACGGUCCAGACUCCUACGGGAGGCAGCAGUAGGGAAUCUUCCGCAAUGGGCGAAAGCCUGACGGAGCAACGCCGCGUGAGUGAUGAAGGUCUUCGGAUCGUAAAACUCUGUUAUUAGGGAAGAACAAAUGUGUAAGUAACUAUGCACAUCUUGACGGUACCUAAUCAGAAAGCCACGGCUAACUACGUG